CGGGAUGUAGCGCAGCCUGGUAGCGUACUAGCAUGGGGUGCUAGGGGUCGCUGGUUCGAAUCCAGUCAUCCCGACUA
This 77-nucleotide transfer RNA is filed under the name Flavobacterium gilvum. RNAcentral describes it as "tRNA-Pro". It matches the Rfam family "tRNA". Rfam says of the family: Transfer RNA (tRNA) molecules are approximately 80 nucleotides in length. Their secondary structure includes four short double-helical elements and three loops (D, anti-codon, and T loops). Further hydrogen bonds mediate the characteristic L-shaped molecular structure. tRNAs have two regions of fundamental functional importance: the anti-codon, which is responsible for specific mRNA codon recognition, and the 3' end, to which the tRNAs corresponding amino acid is attached (by aminoacyl-tRNA synthetases). tRNAs cope with the degeneracy of the genetic code in two manners: having more than one tRNA (with a specific anti-codon) for a particular amino acid; and 'wobble' base-pairing, i.e. permitting non-standard base-pairing at the 3rd anti-codon position. RNAcentral also lists the same sequence under 2 other names. The record is from RNAcentral. Lineage: Bacteria; Pseudomonadati; Bacteroidota; Flavobacteriia; Flavobacteriales; Flavobacteriaceae.